GAAAAAAAAAAAAAACAACA
This 20-nucleotide microRNA is filed under the name Corchorus capsularis. Its description in RNAcentral is "sRNA CCACVL1_11302". Lineage: Eukaryota; Viridiplantae; Streptophyta; Magnoliopsida; Malvales; Malvaceae. The record is from RNAcentral.